UCAUGAAUCCAUUCCUCCUGUUGCCAGCUGUGAUCUCCUCAACACAGAGUGAACAAAAUGCAGCAGUGUUUUCACUAUUGGUCCAUUCAGCCUUAUCAAUAUCAUCGUUCUAGUACACAAGCAUGUUAAUGUUAUACAUAGCAUGAACUGCUGCUACAUAAAAACUAAGAACAAUUGUACUUUUAAAUUAAGGUUCUAUCCUGCUCACAUAAUAUUGACCAAAUGGCAGAAAUUAAUUAAACGUUGAGGAAAUAUUACCGAUUCAUCAUCUCCAACACCAUCAUAAUACUGAU
Molecule: long non-coding RNA, 293 nt
Filed under: Hordeum vulgare
Lineage: Eukaryota; Viridiplantae; Streptophyta; Magnoliopsida; Poales; Poaceae
Description: long non-coding RNA (HVUL_LNC020711)
Source: RNAcentral